Molecule: non-coding RNA, 821 nt
Filed under: Dasypogon diadema
Lineage: Eukaryota; Metazoa; Arthropoda; Insecta; Diptera; Asilidae
Source: RNAcentral
AAGAAGUUUUAUUUUGGCUUUUUAGUUUGUUUAUAAUUUGUUUAUACAUGUAAAUUUUUGUGGGAAUGUUAUUUUACCUUAAUGGUGAAAUUAUGAUUAUAUUUACGUAUUUGCAGUAAUUAAUAUUAUUUUUCUAGUGAUUUAGGAAAUAGUAAUUUUAUUUUAGCAUUGGCUAAAUUUGUGCCAGCAGCCGCGGUUAUACAAAGGAUGUUAAUGAACUUUUUUGGUUUAAGUUAAAUAGGUUAAUUUAUGAUUAGAGAUUUAAUUUAAAAAUUGUUCUUAUAAGGUGAAAUUUUUAGGUUGUUAAUAGGUUGAUCUCUUUAUAUUAAUUAAGGCUUAAAAAUCUUAUUUAUUAAACUAGGAUUAGAUACCCUAUUAUUAUAAGAUGUAAGUAUGUUCACCUAAGUAGUAUUAGUUAUGGUCUUGAAACUUAAAAAAUUUGGCGGUAUUUUAGUCUAUUCAGAGGAACCUGUUCUGUAAUCGAUAAUCCACGUUGAAUCUUACUUAAUUUUGUCUUUCAAUUUGUAUACCGCCGUUAUUGAAUAUUUUAUUAGAAUAAUAAUUUUCAAUAGUUUUUAUUAAAUAUAAUAUCAGGUCAAGGUGCAGUUUAUGAUUAAGUUAGUAAUGGGUUACAAUAAAAUUUAUGUUAUUACGGAUGAUAAAUUGAAAUAUUUAUUUGAAGGUGGAUUUGGUAGUAAAAUUUUUAAUUGUGUAAAUUUGACUUUAGCUCUAUAAUAUGUACACAUCGCCCGUCGCUCUUAUUACUAAGGUAAGAUAAGUCGUAACAUAGUAGAUGUACUGGAAAGUGUAUCUAGAAAACA